AACGAACGCUGGCGGCAUGCCUAACACAUGCAAGUCGAACGAGACCUUCGGGUCUAGUGGCGCACGGGUGCGUAACGCGUGGGAACCUGCCCUUAGGUUCGGAAUAACUCCCCGAAAGGGGUGCUAAUACCGGAUAAUGUCUUCGGACCAAAGAUUUAUCGCCUUUGGAUGGGCCCGCGUUGGAUUCGCUAGUUGGUAGGGUAAAAGCCUACCAAGGCGACGAUCCAUAGCUGGUCUGAGAGGAUGAUCAGCCACACUGGGACGGAGACACGGCCCAGACUCCUACGCGAGGCGGCAGUGGGGAAUGUUGGACAGUGGGCGAAGGCCUGAUCCAGCAAUGCCGCGUGAGUGAUGAAGGCCUUAGGGUUGUAAAGCUCUUUUACCCGGGAUGAUAAUGACAGUACCGGGAGAAUAAGCUCCGGCUAACUCCGUG
Molecule: ribosomal RNA, 433 nt
Filed under: uncultured bacterium
Lineage: Bacteria
Description: partial 16S ribosomal RNA
Rfam family: Bacterial small subunit ribosomal RNA
Source: RNAcentral